This 207-nucleotide long non-coding RNA is filed under the name Olea europaea (common olive). RNAcentral's name for it is "long non-coding RNA (OEUR_LNC002788)". Lineage: Eukaryota; Viridiplantae; Streptophyta; Magnoliopsida; Lamiales; Oleaceae. The record is from RNAcentral.
AGAGAAGUGGAAUAGAUUCGAUAAAAUAUAAAUCAACAUAGGGUCCGAUAGGGGAUAGAAAUAUACCCUUAUGCUUUAUGCAAUUCGUUAAUUGUUCAUAGAAAUUCAUGCAUUCUUGUAUAUUUGCAUCAUUCAUAGAAAUAUAGGCUGGUGGUAUGCAAGAGUAGGUUUAAUAUAUAUCGAGAGAGUAUAUUGGAUAGGUUUAGG